Molecule: long non-coding RNA, 416 nt
Organism: Bactrocera neohumeralis
Lineage: Eukaryota; Metazoa; Arthropoda; Insecta; Diptera; Tephritidae
Exons: 2
Source: RefSeq, a predicted model, not a curated record
GCUCUUUAAUAUUCAUAUUUUAAUUAUUUAUUUCUCAAUACAAAUUCUUUUGAACUAAAAUUGUUGUCGUUUUUCUAAAAAAAAAAUAUUAAACAGUGUUAUAACGCUUUCACUGUUAAGUUUUAUUCGUUUCAGGUAUUUUCUUUUAUUUUUUAAUUUCUCAAAUAUUAUUAUUUUUUAUUUAAGUGCUGUAUUUGCAUACUUUUAAUGUAAUGUUAAUUGCUAUCUGCAGAGCUGUUAAUGAAGUGAAGGAACAUGUUUUUAACAGGUUUAUACAUAAAUUGAUGCAAAAGAGAUCGUGACUGGUGUAGAAAAAAAAAUAAUCGAAUAAAAACAUUAAAAAUAGUAAGAAUAAAUUUAAAAAAAUUUAAAAGAAAAAAAAAAAUAAAAAAAAUUUAAAAGAAAAAAAAUAAAAA